ACUCGCUACCGAGCUAACCCAAACCGUUUGCCACCCCACCGCUAGCAGUGCCAUUGCAGUGGUAAAAUAGGAAGAAUUUUGCGUUUGGAAAUUGGAAUUAGCCUCACGUCUCCUGCUUUUUUUCUGUCGCUCUCUCUGCUACCAUGGUGGAACACAGAGCGGAAAAGUACUUGAUUGUGUAUAUAAGUUGUGUUGAAGUCUGUUUAUGGGAAGUGGGAACAAAAAUGCAUUUGAUGAUUAGUCCUCAGAGUCUUGAUGGAAGAAGCGGCGAACUGGGUUUGGAAAUAACCGUUGAAAGGAGGAGGGUCGUUGGUUUUCUGUGAUGGGAUCAUUGAGGCAAGUAAUAAUUUACUCCAAUCAAGUUAGACCAGCCUUGCAUGAUUUAUUUUUAUUUUGUGGGUUAUGGACUUUUGGCUAGCGAAGCUUACUAAACUGUUUGUUGCUGAUUCUUUUUUGUUGGAGAAGAUAUUUUUCUAAGUUAUUGAUUCAUAAAACUAUUUUCAACAACUAUGAGUUAAUAUUUCUUGUUCAACUGUUUGAAAUCUUAUUCUUUCUUAUUUUAUGUUUUUAAUGCACCCAUAUGCUUUAUUUGCAUUAAAGUCCCAUGAAGAAGCACAUAGAAAUUGAAGUGGCAAUGGUAAAAGAAAAUUUAGGAGGCUGAAGCUUCUGUUCAUUUCUUUGCAUUUUUUUUUUUCCUGUUUUGAAAUCAAGGACUUCUAUCCCAUUUUCUGUAUUUGCAGGAGUAAAAGGAUCAUCCCUGUUCAAUUCAUUACUAUUCCAGUGACUCAAAUAUGGAAGUCAGAUAAAAGUUGUUCCCAAGAGGGAAGAAAAUCGAAUUGCAGGAGGAAUGCAAACAACCAUGGUCUUACAUAAAGUGCGAUGAG
Malania oleifera is the source of this 884-nucleotide long non-coding RNA. RefSeq lists it as uncharacterized. NCBI's taxonomy places the organism in Eukaryota, Viridiplantae, Streptophyta, Magnoliopsida, Santalales, Ximeniaceae. The record is from RefSeq and is a predicted model, not a curated record. The transcript has 3 exons.